Molecule: long non-coding RNA, 775 nt
Filed under: Schistocerca americana (American grasshopper)
Lineage: Eukaryota; Metazoa; Arthropoda; Insecta; Orthoptera; Acrididae
Description: uncharacterized LOC124551303, transcript variant X1
Source: RNAcentral
CCAGAAUGGCUGGAGAUCUUUAUGCGAUUUUUACACUCUGUGUCAAAAUCUAAAUUACUCUGCGACCAAGCCACCCCAAAUCUGUGUUUGUCUGUCAGCUGUAAUGGAUCCACUUGUGUGUGCAGACCAGACCAUGUAUUCUGCAGAGCAGGCUGGAAGCCGUACAUCCAGGAUGUACUGCUGAGGGCUUGAUGGAAGUCAGUGCAAGAGAGACACAAAAAUAUUUCCUGAAUCCAGAGGCGCCAAUUUUCGUGAGUUAAAAUGUGGCAUCUGUCGGUGUAAAAAGGAUUUUGGAUUCUCCACCCACACUGAAGCAGAGAGGAUGUGGCUGAAUCUAUACAUCAUGAGGGAUUUUUGCCACCUUAUCUAAUGCACAUGUGAAAGGGAAGUACUGACGAAGGAUGUUAAUCCUGAACACAUACGUGACAGUGCAAGCUAUUGACAUGUCUGGUUCUUGCCCCAAUGACCCAGUGUCAAAAACUCCAUUCCCUGUGCUACCCUGAAUUGGAUACAUGGAGAGCUCUCAAUCUUGCAUCGUGUAAUGGAGUAAUUUUCCAACAAUGUAGUGGUACGAAAAUCGUAUUUUUGGCCAAUACUGUACAUUCCUGGCUAAUGCACCAAUGCCUUCAUGGAAAGGGAAGUAUUAAAUUUGAGAGGCAAGUGCUACUAAGGUCUGAAUACAUUACGUUUACAACAGGUUGCAAAGAUAGGUAUCAAGAGACAGUUUGAAAGAUCUUUCAGAUGAUGUUAGCAAAUUCGUAAUUAAGAUAUGGUA